UCACCGUGGGGCUCGGAUUCGCUUGGUGCAGGUCGGGACUGAUAUGCUGACACAACCACUGGUGCUUUUGCCUUAUUGGUUUGUGAGCAGGUAUUGGCUCCCGCCUUGCAUCAAUUGAAUCGGAGCCUCCAAUGGUG
Brassica napus (rape) is the source of this 137-nucleotide non-coding RNA. The record is from Rfam. NCBI's taxonomy places the organism in Eukaryota, Viridiplantae, Streptophyta, Magnoliopsida, Brassicales, Brassicaceae.